Molecule: ribosomal RNA, 253 nt
Filed under: uncultured bacterium
Lineage: Bacteria
Description: partial 16S ribosomal RNA
Rfam family: Bacterial small subunit ribosomal RNA
Source: RNAcentral
UACGUAGGGGGCAAGCGUUGUCCGGAAUUAUUGGGCGUAAAGCGCGCGCAGGCGGUCCUUUAAGUCUGAUGUGAAAGCCCACGGCUUAACCGUGGAGGGUCAUUGGAAACUGAGGGACUUGAGUACAGAAGAGGAGAGUGGAAUUCCACGUGUAGCGGUGAAAUGCGUAGAUAUGUGGAGGAACACCAGUGGCGAAGGCGACUCUCUGGUCUGUAACUGACGCUGAGGUGCGAAAGCGUGGGUAGCAAACAGG